GAGAGAGAGAGAGAGAGAGCGCGCACAGCUCUAAGAUCCUGUACAUCAUCUUCAAAUAUCAGUUCUCGGCCCAGCACACUGGGUUUUGGCCAGGAAGCAGCAUUUCUGGCGGCCUCAAAAACAGAUUGUGAUUAGCUGUACUGCUUUCACGUUGUGAUUGCUUACAGCUGAGCCACAGUGGCACCCAAACUGUAGAAUCAGCUCCUCUUAUAGAAUGGUUGGCAACAAAAAUAUAAUUUCAGAUAGUCUUAAGGAUGAUGGUCAUGGUAAUGACUGUUAUUUUGCUGUCUCGUUAUUCCAUUCACAUGUAAGAAAAGAGACUGUGAGAGUAUGUGUGAGAGAGAAAGAAGCUUGAGCUGUGUGAAGGUAAGAGGUUGCCAGACGGGAUUUAUUCUGUCCCCCCCAGUACAGAGGCUUUCCAACCCUGAUGGCAAGCUUUCCAUGACACGUCCGUACACGAUAUCCUUGCCAACGUCAGUUCACACCUCUGUGGCACUACCUGCUGUCCGCUGUGCCUGGACAAGUGUCUGUGCCAGCUUUGUAUCCGGCGUUCACAGCAUAUUUAGUCUUGAGAUUUAUCGAUAUCCUUCUUUGUAUUUAGAUAAUCUACUACACUGGAACCACUAUGUGAGGUGUCAGUACAUAAAAAGGUCUUUGUUCGAGCUUUAUUUUUUACAAGCCGUCGGAGUCAGCCAGGCAGCUCAUUCACUCGGAAUUGUUAGUGUGUGAGCUGCUUAAAGAAAACAAGGAGGUUAAAUGUUUCUGAGCUAUCCGUAUCAAACUGCAUGCCUCCCUCCCCGUCAUACCCCUUUCUUGCAGAGACUGCAGGGGAGAGAGGGGACUGCAGUGGCUCUGCGAUGGUGUGGGGCCUGAAUGAAGACGGAUGGAUCCAUCAGAACGCCUGGAUGAUGAAUCAUGGGCUGUGGGAGAGGCUCUCAUUUAUGUAAAAGAGAUCUUCUAUAACCCUGAUGCUGGAUACAGGAUCUUUCAGCCUGUGCAGGUCUAAGCUGGAAUCAUUUUGUGUGUUUGUGUGUGUGUGUGCGUGUGUGUGCGUGUGUGUGCGUGUGUGUGCGUGUGUGUGCGUGUGUGUGCGUGUGUGUGCGUGUGUGUGUGUGUGUGUGUCAUCUUCACAAAAGCUGUUUAGCACCGAGCCAUUUCUUUUCCAAUGCAGGUGGUGAGGCGAAGGCGUGAGAAAGUAGCUAAACGCUCAGUAAAAAGCCAAAUCCAGCCCCAUGCAUUAUGGAUGUGAGACUGGAGGCGAUGGAGCUAGGUGGUGAAGAGACGGAAAGAGUGUUAAGCAAAACAGGUUAAGAGUGCUUUCUACCCCAAGUGAGGGUAUACGUGUGUGCACUCACUCUCUGUGUGAGCCCCAUGAGUGACUGGCCUCCCUCAGUAGGGGGUGGCAAGCGCUCCAGCUGUUUUGGCAGAUAAGCCGGUGCAGUGGUACUCUGAGCUUCCUGUCGUGCAUCAGCUGCCUCUGUCCCCUCUACACCCGACACUCAGCUGUCCCCGCACACAAACGCUACGAUUUGCUAGCACGGUUUCAACUCCCUCAACACUGAAUUAGCUAGAAACACACACGUACACACCUGUCUCAGCACUCUGCAUUAACACUAAGGAUUACUGAUACCUCGUCAUCCUUUCCGCUCCACUGCUGACUAAUUACCUGGCCAGCCAUCGCCAUGCACACACCACACACAUGCAUACACACGCACAAACACAUAGCUCACUGUCGCUAAUGAUAAUUGCAGUAAUGAACACAAGGCUAGAGGGUUUUCUCAGACGCCAUCUUCUGACUUUAUCCGAGAUGACUUGCAGAGACAUAUUGGGUAAACAGUGAGCAUCUUGCUCAACCUGCUAAACAGCCCUGGAGGUGAACACAGGGUUUAGAUAAGAGUAAAACAAGCCAGUACCGAGCUCUGCAACUCUAUAAGCUUCAGCAGUUUGUUUUGGAUGACAAAAAAAUGCUGUUACUAGUUUUGUUUGGUGUGGAUUAAAAAGCGUGAGCUACAUUUCAUUGGUCCAAUUUCGCACUAGCUUUAUUAUAUCAAUACGGUUUCUUUAUGUAUAACAUUCUAAAGAAAUAUGGACAGAGUGCUUUAUAGAGGAUUGAUACCAGUUUCGAAUUCAAGGCAAGAUCAAUAACAGAGGUAAAAAAGAAGAAAAACGAUUCCAAAAGCAAAAUGUAAUGCAACCUUAAGGUUAGCAUGUAUGUUAGCUAGCUAAGCAACCAAUUCUGAUUUAUAGCUUAAGCUAGCAGUGUGCUCCAGGGCUGACAGGAUAUCUCGGGCUACUUUACACAAUUCACAAUUGAAUUUUAAUGAAUAAAAGAUGUAGUAUUCAGUUUAAUAUAUACAAGCCUGUAAUCAUGUACAAACCUAGACAGAGCAAUAGCAUUAGCAGCAGCACUAUGCUAUGUGUUUGUAAGCAAAACUGCUGUUUUUUUUUUUUUUUUAAGCGAAGGAAAUCAGACCGAGGCAAUAGUGAUUCAGUGUUUAGUGUUUCUGAAUCAUUUUUAAUUACUUAUCCACUGCAGUGUUGCUAAUGCUGAACACAAAUGUACAUUUCCUCGGUUACACAGGAUGCCCAUAAAAAUCUGCCAUCUUCAGGCAGGAAUAUUUGAAUGCUUUCUGCAGCACCAUUACAGCGAAGUGCAAAUCUCCUCAGGUUAAAGUGAAGAUGACAACAACGGGAUGUUUAUCGAGUUAGGUCUUAACAGAUGUUCCUUCAUUAUUGUCACCGUCACAGAUUGUCCUUUAUUUCGUUGUCAUAAUGGUCAAAUAGUAAGAUAUCAGUAGUGAAAAAUGAAACAAAAAUUCUAAGUCCAAACAUUAAUAUUUCCCUUUUCGAAUGUUUUAAAUAUGCUCCAAUAAAAAAAUUGCCCUUUUUUUUUUUUUUUAAUUUUCUUUAUUUAUUUUUUAAAAUAACUUUCUCCAAUCCUCUGAGCAGGUGUAAUAUUCACCCCAUACUCAUUUGACUUGACACAUCUGUUGGAACGCUGCCAGAUGUCAUACACUGCCGAGAGGGUCAAGGCAAAACUUCUGUUGAUUGUUUUUAUCUUUUGGAUUUGUUGUCUUGUUGCCAAAUACACUCACAUUUGACUUAUUUCCAUAUACCAGAGGGGGAUGCAGCAUUUUUUUCUUCUGUUGUAAAUUGAAUACCAAAUAGCUUCCUUUAUACUAUAAAUACUCAUUAUAUAAGAUAUAAGAUUUUAGCUGCACCCACAUGGUGCGCUACAUGGGCAAUACAGCAUCAUUUGAGAUUGAAAAAGAAGACAAAAACGGAUUCCAACAAGUGCCUGAGGGGAAACUUUCAAUUACUUACAUGUCAUAUGUUUAAGACACUCCGUUGUAAUUUUUUUUUCAUUAAAUAAUGCAGUACGUACAUCAUAAACAAUAUGGGGGGGGCAUAUGGUAUAAAUGCUGUGGAUAUUCAGAGCCCUUUUUCUAUUGCAGGUGAUGAGUCAUGGAGCAAAAAAUGAGAAAAUCCAUUAUAUUUGAUAGACUUACAUUAGGUGACUAAAAGUAGUCUAAAUGUAGAAUUUUUCCAUUUGAAUCCAUAAAUAUUAUGAAAAGUGUUUUGAGCAGUGAAAUUCAUUCCGACAGCC
Molecule: long non-coding RNA, 3607 nt
Organism: Ictalurus punctatus (channel catfish)
Lineage: Eukaryota; Metazoa; Chordata; Actinopteri; Siluriformes; Ictaluridae
Source: Ensembl